UACGUAGGGUGCAAGCGUUAAUCGGAAUUACUGGGCGUAAAGCGUGUGCAGGCGGCUUUGCAAGACAGAUGUGGAAUCCCCGGGCUUAACCUGGGAACUGCAUUUGUGACUGCAUGGCUGGAGUGCGGCAGAGGGGGAUGGAAUUCCGCGUGUAGCAGUGAAAUGCGUAGAUAUGCGGAGGAACACCGAUGGCGAAGGCAAUCCCCUGGGCCUGCACUGACGCUCAUGCACGAAAGCGUGGGGAGCAAACAGG
RNAcentral lists this ribosomal RNA (253 nucleotides) under uncultured bacterium. RNAcentral describes it as "partial 16S ribosomal RNA". It matches the Rfam family "Bacterial small subunit ribosomal RNA", at positions 524 to 776 of the family's 1533-position model. The record is from RNAcentral.